Molecule: ribosomal RNA, 620 nt
Filed under: uncultured bacterium
Lineage: Bacteria
Description: bacterial SSU rRNA
Rfam family: Bacterial small subunit ribosomal RNA
Source: RNAcentral
UGGGAACAAGGCUGGCCGGUUAACUGCCGGUCAGUUGAUAGUACCAGAAGAGGAAGAGACGGCUAACUCUGUGCCAGCAGCCGCGGUAAUACAGAGGUCUCAAGCGUUGUUCGGAUUCAUUGGGCGUAAAGGGUGCGUAGGUGGCGCGCUAAGUCGGGUGUGAAAUUUCGGAGCUUAACUCCGAAACUGCAUUCGAUACUGGCGUGCUUGAGGACUGGAGAGGAGACUGGAAUUCACGGUGUAGCAGUGAAAUGCGUAGAGAUCAUGAGGAAGACCAGUGGCGAAGGCGGGUCUCUGGACAGUUCCUGACACUGAGACACGAAGGCCAGGGGAGCAAACGGGAUUAGAUACCCCGGUAGUCCUGGCAGUAAACGGUGCACGUUUGGUGUGGGAGGAUUCGACCCCUUCUGCGCCGGAGCUAACGCGUUAAACGUGCCGCCUGGGGAGUACGGUCGCAAGAUUAAAACUCAAAGAAAUUGACGGGGGCCCGCACAAGCGGUGGAGUAUGUGGCUUAAUUCGAUGCAACGCGAAGAACCUUACCUGGCCUUGACAUGCAUUGUGUCGGCGGUGAAAGCCGCCUAGCCCCGAAAGGGGCGCCUUGCACAGGUGCUGCAUGGCU